AUCGGGCGAGCCGGGCACUCUGGAGGGACUGCCGGCGACAAGCCGGAGGAAGGUGGGGAUGACGUCAAGUCAUCCAUGGCCCUUAGUGUCCAGGGCGACACACGUGCUACAAUGGCCGGCACAGUGGGAAGCGGAGGGGCGACCCUGAGCGGAUCCCUUGAAAGCCGGUCCCAGUUCGGAUUGCAGUCUGCAACUCGACUGCAUGAAGUUGGAAUCGCUAGUAAUCGCGGAUCAGCCAAGCCGCGGUGAAUACGUUCCCGGGCCUU
This 266-nucleotide ribosomal RNA is filed under the name uncultured Thermovirga sp. RNAcentral describes it as "partial 16S ribosomal RNA". It matches the Rfam family "Bacterial small subunit ribosomal RNA", at positions 1120 to 1382 of the family's 1533-position model. Lineage: Bacteria; Thermotogati; Synergistota; Synergistia; Synergistales; Thermovirgaceae. The record is from RNAcentral.